GACGAAGGAUGCAAGCGUUAUCCGGAUUCAUUGGGUUUAAAGGGUGCGUAGGCGGACUUGCAAGUCAGUGGUGAAAUCUCCGGGCUUAACUCGGAAACUGCCAUUGAUACUGCAGAUCUUGAGUACAGAUGAUGUUGGCGGAAUAUGACAUGUAGCGGUGAAAUGCAUAGAUAUGUCAUAGAACACCGAUUGCGAAGGCAGCUGACAAAACUGUAACUGACGCUGAGGCACGAAAGUGUGGGGAUCAAACAGGAUUAGAAACCCCCGUAGUCC
RNAcentral lists this ribosomal RNA (273 nucleotides) under uncultured bacterium. RNAcentral describes it as "partial 16S ribosomal RNA". It matches the Rfam family "Bacterial small subunit ribosomal RNA", at positions 524 to 796 of the family's 1533-position model. The record is from RNAcentral.